AAGUCGUAACAAGGUCUCCGUUGGUGAACCAGCGGAGGGAUCAUUACCGAGUUCCAUCUCGACAACCCUUUGUGAACCAAACCUAUUGUUGCUUCGGCGGCGCGGAACGCCUCUCGCAGGCGCGCCGCGCCCGCCGGUAACCCCAGAAUCUCUGUUCGAACCCGACGUUACUUCUGAGUGUUCUAAGCGAACUGUUAAAACUUUCAACAACGGAUCUCUUGGCUCUAGC
This is an unclassified non-coding RNA of 229 nucleotides. The stretch from base 1 to 46 matches the Rfam family "Eukaryotic small subunit ribosomal RNA", at positions 1786 to 1831 of the family's 1831-position model.